This 253-nucleotide ribosomal RNA is filed under the name uncultured bacterium. Its description in RNAcentral is "partial 16S ribosomal RNA". It matches the Rfam family "Bacterial small subunit ribosomal RNA", at positions 524 to 776 of the family's 1533-position model. The record is from RNAcentral.
UACGGGGGUGGCAAGCGUUGUUCGGAAUUACUGGGCGUAAAGGGCUCGUAGGUGGCCAACUAAGUCGGACGUGAAAUCCCUCGGCUUAACCGGGGAACUGCGUCCGAUACUGGUUGGCUUGAGUUUGGGAGAGGGAUGCGGAAUUCCAGGUGUAGCGGUGAAAUGCGUAGAUAUCUGGAGGAACACAGGUGGCGAAGGCGGCAUCCUGGACCAAUACUGACGCUGAGGAGCGAAAGCCAGGGGAGCAAACGGG